Molecule: unclassified non-coding RNA, 869 nt
Filed under: Hevea brasiliensis (rubber tree)
Lineage: Eukaryota; Viridiplantae; Streptophyta; Magnoliopsida; Malpighiales; Euphorbiaceae
Source: RNAcentral
CCCUGUCUGAAUGGGGCCGUGACUCUCUUACACCCUCAUAGGCUUCCCUAUCCCGAAUAGUUGCCAUUGAAGGGGAAUGGAAAGGCACUGCAGCUGAUGGCACUGACUGGUAUACAGCAGGUCGGAAAAGUGCACUGAGCUUCCUAACCUGUUGAACAGUAAGUUCUAUUUUGAACUUGUUCUUUUCAUCAUAAUUGUCCUUUAUGGCCUUCUUGAAAACACUCUCAGGGAGUGGAAAACAAUCUUUGUGAAUACCAAACCGUACCUGAACUGGGAAGGACCCGCCAAAAGCCUUUGGCUCCAAUUUCAUCCCGCCAGAAGAUGAUGCUUUGUAGAUUCCAUACAUAAGUUUGAGAUCAAAAUCAUACAGGAAAAGCUUAAGUCCAGGUUUCACACCCAGCACAACAUCUUUUUUACUUGCUGUCACACCCAUGACUCGAUAAUGAAAACAAUCUGGUUUGGUCUUUGCAUUACACAUGAAGAUUAAACCACCAAGCUUCUCUUUCUUUCUUUCAUCUCCUUGAUUCUUUUCCUCAUCAAGCUUUCCUUUGUCCUUUUGACUCCUUGAGCUCUUAUCAGGACCACCUUGCUUCUCAUCAUUCCUUUGGCUAUGUUGGCUCCUACUUGAACCAGCAAUCCUUGCUUGGCUCUUUUGAGUCUCUAUUCCCCUCCCAGUGUGCUCUUCAUUGGCACCAUUCUUUUGUAAUUUCCCUACCCUUGAAUUUUGAUUCUGAUCAUUCUUGUUCCCAUUUUUGUUACUUUCCUUGUUCUCUUGUACUACACUCUUAUUCUUCCUCCUCCUGUUUCUUCGCCGAUCACCUAAAGCUUUAGUGGCCUUAAAAGAGCUGCUAGCCAAAGACUUCUUUUUU